UUUGAGUGAGUGGCGAACUGGUGAGUAACACGUGGGAAACCUGCCCAGAAGCGGGGGAUAACACCUGGAAACAGAUGCUAAUACCGCAUAACAACUUGGACCGCAUGGUCCGAGUUUGAAAGAUGGCUUCGGCUAUCACUUUUGGAUGGUCCCGCGGCGUAUUAGCUAGAUGGUGGGGUAACGGCUCACCAUGGCAAUGAUACGUAGCCGACCUGAGAGGGUAAUCGGCCACAUUGGGACUGAGACACGGCCCAAACUCCUACGGGAGGCAGCAGUAGGGAAUCUUCCACAAUGGACGAAAGUCUGAUGGAGCAACGCCGCGUGAGUGAAGAAGGGUUUCGGCUCGUAAAACUCUGUUGUUAAAGAAGAACAUAUCUGAGAGUAACUGUUCAGGUAUUGACGGUAUUUAACCAGAAAGCCACGGCUAACUACGUGCCAGCAGCCGCGGUAAUACGUAGGUGGCAAGCGUUGUCCGGAUUUAUUGGGCGUAAAGCGAGCGCAGGCGGUUUUUUAAGUCUGAUGUGAAAGCCUUCGGCUCAACCGAAGAAGUGCAUCGGAAACUGGGAAACUUGAGUGCAGAAGAGGACAGUGGAACUCCAUGUGUAGCGGUGAAAUGCGUAGAUAUAUGGAAGAACACCAGUGGCGAAGGCGGCUGUCUGGUCUGUAACUGACGCUGAGGCUCGAAAGUAUGGGUAGCAAACAGGAUUAGAUACCCUGGUAGUCCAUACCGUAAACGAUGAAUGCUAAGUGUUGGAGGGUUUCCGCCCUUCAGUGCUGCAGCUAACGCAUUAAGCAUUCCGCCUGGGGAGUACGGCCG
Molecule: ribosomal RNA, 817 nt
Filed under: Lactiplantibacillus plantarum
Lineage: Bacteria; Bacillati; Bacillota; Bacilli; Lactobacillales; Lactobacillaceae
Description: bacterial SSU rRNA
Rfam family: Bacterial small subunit ribosomal RNA
Source: RNAcentral